Long non-coding RNA from Castor canadensis (American beaver), 440 nucleotides. Lineage: Eukaryota; Metazoa; Chordata; Mammalia; Rodentia; Castoridae. The record is from Ensembl.
GGGUGGGGUAGAGGCAGCCACUCCAGUUGCAUUUCUGGCCCCUGGCACCAGACUGAGAACCCUUUGCAACUGAUCAGAACUCACCUCCUGUCAAGGGCUGAGUUCCUUCCUGUGUAGAAGAUGACAGAGCCAGUGUCUAUUUCAGUUUCAUUGGUCGUGUCCUCAGUCUCAGUGAGCGUGUUGUUUUCUGGACCUGUGGCAUGGCUUAUUGCGGGCUUGGUGGUUGUCAUUGUCAUCGGUGGCAUCACCUAUUAUGUAGUGAAACAGGAGAAGAGGAACCAGAACAAAAUGAAAUGACAUGACUCCUGUCCAGGCACUGGCAGAGGGGCAGGCUGCCUUCACCUGAAUACGUGCAGCAACGCACUGCAUACAUUUCAGAGUUUAUAUGAACAAGAUAAACUUUUCAACAAGAAAAAAUCAUUAAACAUACAAUGAACACU